GGACCUUCUUGUUCACGAAAACGUGGGGGAAAGUCAAUAACGUACACUGGGCGUACCCGGCCCUUAAGACAAUCAAUUCUCAGGCAAGAACGAGCCUUCCGUAGGUGAACCUGCGGAAGGAUCAUUA
RNAcentral lists this ribosomal RNA (127 nucleotides) under uncultured Russula. RNAcentral describes it as "partial 18S ribosomal RNA". The record is from RNAcentral. Lineage: Eukaryota; Fungi; Basidiomycota; Agaricomycetes; Russulales; Russulaceae.